CCUACGGGUGGCAGCAGUGAGGAAUAUUGGUCAAUGGGCGCUAGCCUGAACCAGCCAAGUAGCGUGAAGGAUGACUGCCCUACGGGUUGUAAACUUCUUUUAUAAAGGAAUAAAGUGAGGCACGUGUCCCUUUUUGUAUGUACUUUAUGAAUAAGGAUCGGCUAACUCCGUGCCAGCAGCCGCGGUAAUACGGAGGGUCCGAGCGUUAUCCGGAUUUAUUGGGUUUAAAGGGAGCGUAGACGGGUUGUUAAGUCAGUUGUGAAAGUUUGCGGUUCAACCGUAAAAUUGCAGUUGAUACUGGCAGCCUUGAGUACAGGUGAGGUAGGCGGAAUUCGUGGUGUAGCGGUGAAAUGCUUAGAUAUCACGAAGAACUCCGAUUGCGAAGGCAGCUUACUAGACUGCAACUGACGUUGAUGCUCGAAAGUGUGGGUAUCAAACAGGAUUAGAUACCCGAGUAGUC
Molecule: ribosomal RNA, 460 nt
Filed under: uncultured bacterium
Lineage: Bacteria
Description: partial 16S ribosomal RNA
Rfam family: Bacterial small subunit ribosomal RNA
Source: RNAcentral